AGUUUAGUUUAUUGUUGCGUAUACCGAGGUACAGUGAAAAGUUUUUGUUGCGCGCUAACCAGUCAGCAGAAAUACAUGCUUACAACCGAUCCAUUCGCAGUGUAUAGAUACGUGAUAAAGGGAAU
Amblyraja radiata (thorny skate) is the source of this 125-nucleotide long non-coding RNA. RefSeq lists it as uncharacterized. NCBI's taxonomy places the organism in Eukaryota, Metazoa, Chordata, Chondrichthyes, Rajiformes, Rajidae. The transcript has 3 exons. The record is from RefSeq and is a predicted model, not a curated record.